UCUCGGUUCCAAAACUAGAUCGUACACA
RNAcentral lists this small RNA (28 nucleotides) under Bombyx mori (domestic silkworm). Its description in RNAcentral is "ovarian small RNA-29779". The record is from RNAcentral. Lineage: Eukaryota; Metazoa; Arthropoda; Insecta; Lepidoptera; Bombycidae.